This 433-nucleotide ribosomal RNA is filed under the name uncultured bacterium. RNAcentral describes it as "partial 16S ribosomal RNA". It matches the Rfam family "Bacterial small subunit ribosomal RNA", at positions 29 to 507 of the family's 1533-position model. The record is from RNAcentral.
AACGAACGCUGGCGGCAUGCCUAACACAUGCAAGUCGAACGAGACCUUCGGGUCUAGUGGCGCAUGGGUGCGUAACGCGUGGGAACCUGCCCUUAGGUUCGGAAUAACUCCCCGAAAGGGGUGCUAAUACCGGAUAAUGUCUUCGGACCAAAGAUUUAUCGCCUUUGGAUGGGCCCGCGUUGGAUUAGCUAGUUGGUAGGGUAAAAGCCUACCAAGGCGACGAUCCAUAGCUGGUCUGAGAGGAUGACCAGCCACACUGGGACUGAGACACGGCCCAGACUCCUACGGGAGGCAGCAGUGGGGAAUAUUGGACAAUGGGCGAAAGCCUGAUCCAGCAAUGCCGCGUGAGUGAUGAAGGCCUUAGGGUUGUAAAGCUCUUUUACCCGGGAUGAUAAUGACAGUACCGGGAGAAUAAGCUCCGGCUAACUCCGUG